This 245-nucleotide long non-coding RNA is filed under the name Zostera marina. Its description in RNAcentral is "long non-coding RNA (ZMAR_LNC001805)". The record is from RNAcentral. Lineage: Eukaryota; Viridiplantae; Streptophyta; Magnoliopsida; Alismatales; Zosteraceae.
GGCAAACGUCGCAUCGACCAACAAUUUCCUCUGAGUCUUUUAUUGACUCGGGCCAGUAAUACCCUUGCCUGGCUACUUGCUUCUCCAGCGCUCUGCCGCCCUGGUGCGCUCCGCUUGCCCCCUCGUGCAGGCUUCGUGCGAUGGCCCUCCCCUCCUCACGUGGGACGCAUAGUCGCAGGGGGACCUCCUCUGCUGCCGACCGUCGGUAUAGCUUAUCCUGAGCCACUACAAACCAGGCCGCCCUG